CCAAUAGCGUAUAUUAAAGGUGUUGCAGGGAAACAGGACUGUUACUUUGAAUAAAUUAGAGUGUUUAAAGCAGGCUAACGCUUGAAUACAUUAGCAUGGAAUAAUGAAAUAGGACGUGGAUCCUAUUUUGUUGGUUUCUAGGAUUAACGUAAUGAUUAAUAGGGAUAGUUGGGGGCAUUAGUAUUCAAUUGUCAGAGGUGAAAUUCUUGGAUUUAUUGAAGACUAACUACUGCGAAAGCAUUUGCCAAGGAUGUUUUCAUUAAUCAAGAACGAAAGUUAGGGGAUCGAAGACGAUCAGAUACCGUCGUAGUCUUAACCAUAAACUAUGCCGACUAGGGAUCGGAUGAUGUUAAUUUUUUAAUGACUCAUUCGGCGCCUUACG
RNAcentral lists this ribosomal RNA (382 nucleotides) under uncultured Glomeromycotina. RNAcentral describes it as "partial small subunit ribosomal RNA". It matches the Rfam family "Eukaryotic small subunit ribosomal RNA", at positions 711 to 1092 of the family's 1831-position model. Lineage: Eukaryota; Fungi; Glomeromycota. The record is from RNAcentral.